CCUACGGGAGGCAGCAGUGGGGAAUAUUGCACAAUGGGGGAAACCCUGAUGCAGCGACGCCGCGUGAGUGAAGAAGGAAUUCGGUACGGACAGCUCUAUCAGCAGGGAAGAAAAUGACGGUACCUGAGUAAGAAGCCCCGGCUAACUACGUGCAAGCAGCCGCGGUAAUACGUAGGGGGCAAGCGGUAUCCGGAUUUACUGGGUGUAAAGGGAGCGUAGACGGUGCACCAAGUCUGGAGUGAAAUGCAGCAGCUUAACUGCGGAACUGCGUUGGAAACUGGCGAACUAGAGUGCGGGAGGGGUAAGCGGAAUGCCUAGUGUAGCGGUGAAAUGCGUAGAUAUUAGGAGGAACACCGGUGGCGAAGGCGGCUUUCUGGACCGUAACUGACGUUGAGGCUCGAAAGCGUGGGGAGCAAACAGGAUUAGAUACCCUUGUAGUC
This 440-nucleotide ribosomal RNA is filed under the name uncultured bacterium. RNAcentral describes it as "partial 16S ribosomal RNA". It matches the Rfam family "Bacterial small subunit ribosomal RNA", at positions 338 to 795 of the family's 1533-position model. The record is from RNAcentral.